UACACACCUGGCCGAAAUCACAAACCUGCUACAGGUUUCCUGGAGGAGCGCUUGAGGAACGUCAGGAAGCGCAUGAGAAUGCUGAAACGACCACGCCACCAAGAACAACAGAAGGAACAGACCGUCCCUAGUACACCAGAAUAUGAUGUGCCUCCUGAAAAACUUCUAGAAAUGGUUGAAUGGAUGAAGGUCAAUAGGUAUCCAGUGUCCCAAGUUGAGGACUACAUGAGUCAAACAGCUCUACAUAGAGGCAAGUGGAUUCGCAGCAAUGGAUCUAAAAGCCUCCCGGAAAUCUUGACUGAGUUCCCUAGGCUUUUAGACAAUCCUGGCAUGAUAUCACAAGACUUCCAGCAGCUUCAUCCAGAGGCAGUGGGAAAACUGUUUCAGAACUGGGCUACUAUGAGUGACCAAAUCCUUACAUAUGCCCAGCGAGAGGGAAAACUGCCCUUGGUGUUUGAUGACAUGACACCAGGAUUGGAGGAAAAGUCCACAGACCCACCAUAGAGGAGUCCCGCAAGUCCUUCAUUAAUAUCCAACCAGUGGGCACCAACAUGGUACAGUACCUACAGACAGCAGAGAGAACUCAACCCUUCCCGCACAUCUUGUGUCUUGGUGAUGACAUGACAACAUGCCAGACCUUCACCAUUGUGUCAGACAACGCCAUUGAAACGGACACUUUGCUGGGUGCAGUAGAUCUGUGUUUUAAGGCUUUCUUUGUGUUUGACCUCAAUUACACAAAGCAGUGUCUCCCCACCUGGGAGUUUAUCCAACAGGCAGUAUAUAACAUUGAUGGACAUGAAUCCUCAAAUGUCAAAUUUAUGAGGAAAUCAAUUGCAGCUUUGGCCUAAAGGUACACAGAGAGAAGUAGCGUUUUAGUGAUGUGUGUCAAACAAGUUGACAGCUGCUCUCUAAAAAUAUGAUUGACACAAAACAUGAUUGCAGAAGACAGUAGGCA
Molecule: long non-coding RNA, 955 nt
Organism: Gymnodraco acuticeps
Lineage: Eukaryota; Metazoa; Chordata; Actinopteri; Perciformes; Bathydraconidae
Exons: 5
Source: RefSeq, a predicted model, not a curated record